RNAcentral lists this transfer RNA (72 nucleotides) under Camelus bactrianus (Bactrian camel). It matches the Rfam family "tRNA". Rfam says of the family: Transfer RNA (tRNA) molecules are approximately 80 nucleotides in length. Their secondary structure includes four short double-helical elements and three loops (D, anti-codon, and T loops). Further hydrogen bonds mediate the characteristic L-shaped molecular structure. tRNAs have two regions of fundamental functional importance: the anti-codon, which is responsible for specific mRNA codon recognition, and the 3' end, to which the tRNAs corresponding amino acid is attached (by aminoacyl-tRNA synthetases). tRNAs cope with the degeneracy of the genetic code in two manners: having more than one tRNA (with a specific anti-codon) for a particular amino acid; and 'wobble' base-pairing, i.e. permitting non-standard base-pairing at the 3rd anti-codon position. Lineage: Eukaryota; Metazoa; Chordata; Mammalia; Artiodactyla; Camelidae. The record is from Rfam by way of RNAcentral. RNAcentral also lists the same sequence under 2 other names.
GAGGGUGGAGCUCAGUGAUAGAGCACAUGCUUAGCAUACAAGAGGGUCUGGGUUCAAUCCCCAGUACCUCCA